Long non-coding RNA from Anthonomus grandis grandis, 1941 nucleotides. RefSeq lists it as uncharacterized. The transcript is spliced from 3 exons. The record is from RefSeq and is a predicted model, not a curated record. Lineage: Eukaryota; Metazoa; Arthropoda; Insecta; Coleoptera; Curculionidae.
CUGGAAGUAACAAAAAUCACCUUAAAAAUGCCUGAAAAUUGCAAUGAAUUCACUGGAAAAUAAUGAUUAACGAUGUCAACUGACAGGAAAUAAUUGAUAACGACUUUAGCUGCCUGAAAAUGACUUUAAAAAAUUGUUCUCAAAAUUCUCAACUGGCUGGAAGUAACGGAAAAUGUCGUCAAGAAUGCAUUCAGUUGUCUGGAAAAAAAUUGAAAUAUCUUCUUCAAAACUCCAAAACCUUAAAUCCAGACCAACCAACAGGACUCAACCAGCACCAACCUCUAACCUCCCCGCCACCAUCAUUAAUGUGUCAAAAAGAACCCUUACCGAUGCUGAACAAAAGGUGUUAAACAGAGGACUAAACUUCGCCAUAUCCUCAAAACCAUCCUUUAUAGACAUAGUGUCUUCAGUAGAAUCAAUCCACCUACCACGUCCUGAGACCGAUGAAUUUCGACACGAGGCUGGACUCACUUAAAAAAAAUAGAAACCUUCGCAGAACAUCAGCAAAGAAGAGACAACAGCUCUCAGGAAUCUUAAAAGUGAAAAGAACAUCAAAAUUCUUCCUGCAGAUAAGGGCAAUGCAACUGUGGUUAUGGACCUGGAAACCUACGAAAACAAGGUUGAGGAAGUUUUGAACAAAGGCGAAUACAGGCUACUAUCUAAGGAUCCGACGACAACCAUAGAAGGUCGAAUUUACAGAGCACUUAAGAAGUACUCCUCAACAUUGUCGGAUACGGUAUGCUCUAGGCUGACACAAUAACACCUCUACAAAAGGACAAAGCGCUCCAAAAAAUUUUGCUCGUGACGUCACACGUUUGGGCCAUGCACUUCAGGCUGAUUUUCGCGUGAAUUCAGCUGUUGACAGACGCCACUAAAAAGCACCCGAUUCCCGCCGGUGAUCGUGUAUGUUCGGAGAAAAAUUCGGUCGUUUGACGUGAAUGACAAGAAUAACGACACGAAUGUUCCCGCUUUUUUUGUGUUUGUUGGUUGUUUACUUUCGUAAAAAAGUUCCAACUAAUUUGAUCAAUUAUUGCGAUUAUACUGAACUUGUUUCUUUGUGAAAUAUUGACCAUAUUGUUGCUUAUAGUGUUUUAAAAUAAUACCUGAAAAGCUGUAUUAAUUCCAAUCCAGCGAUUUUAGCUGUAAAGAUGGACGGCCCUACUCAAAACCAUCAGAAUCAGGACCAAACUAUCAACAAAAAUAUGUGCCACUCAUGCAGUAAAAUGUUUUCUUUCAUUUCAGCUAAGAACAAACAUAUUAAAGUUAUUCAUAAGCAGCAGCUCCCAGAUAACUCAAAGUCACACAUUUCUUGUCCCUUAUGCAAAGAGACUAAGUAUUCUUGUAAGACUUUAAAAACUUGAAGCUCAUUUACAGGUAAGUCAGGAUAUCAAAAUAGAGUCCUCAACUUUCCAUUUUUCCAGUGAAGAAAGAUUUGAGGAAUGGUUAAGAGAGCAUAAAAUAAGCACAAACUAUGCACUUGUUCGCACAAGGAAAAUUGAAGACAAGAUUGAAAAAGUAUAUUGUUGCAAUUGAAGCAAUUUUAGAGGUGAACUCCUUGGAGAAUGUUCUUCCAAUAAUAUUGAAGCUAGCCAUAGCCUAGAAAUUGAAACAUUUGUUAAUGAGAAGACAACUGAAAAUCAACAAGUAGCAGUACAACGAUUGAACAAGCAAUCAACAAGAGAAAUUGAAUUUGAAAGUGUAUCAAACUUUUUAAGAUCUUUAAAUGAUAAAGCUUAUGAUAUGUGCAUGAGACGACUGACAUCAAUGAUGGAACAGAUAAAUAAGACAAAUACAAGUAAACGAAAAGUGGACAAACAAGUUUAUUUUCCAUCAAAGAAGAAGAAGGAGCAGUAAAUAAAAAUAAUAAAUUGUAUAUUUUUUCUAUUUAUCAGUAUUUUUUUUAUGUUAUAGUAGGUAUAUUUUUAUAGGUUUUAAUAUAUA